This is an RNA transcript of Chinchilla lanigera (long-tailed chinchilla), 4188 nucleotides long. It is a transcript of the gene named LETM1 domain containing 1, with no coding region annotated. NCBI's taxonomy places the organism in Eukaryota, Metazoa, Chordata, Mammalia, Rodentia, Chinchillidae. The record is from RefSeq and is a predicted model, not a curated record. The transcript is spliced from 10 exons.
UUCCUUCCUUCAGUAUCAAUCAGCGCUCAGGAAGGCGCAUGCGUCCUGGGACAGUGACCUUUGACCUGGAGACGACCGCUUCUCUUCCCCCUCCCUUGUUGUGAAGAUGGCGCUGUCCAGGGUGUGCUGCGCUCGCGCUGCUCUGUGGGGUUCGGCUGCCGCCCCGGGACCUAUUGUCGCCCGUAGGCUACAACUUGGUCGCCCCGGCCUUGCUUGGGGAGCCCUUCGGUCUUCAAAGCUUCACCUUUCUCCAAAGGCAGAUAUGAAGAGCUUGAUCUCUUAUGUGGUGGCCAAGACAAAAGCGAUGAAUGGGAAAUACCAUCGUUUCUUGGGUCGUCAUUUUCCCCGCUUCUAUGUCCUGUACACAAUCUUCAUGAAAGGAUUACAGAUGUUUUGGGCUGAUGCCAAAAAGGCUAGAAGAAUAAAGACAAAUAUGUGGAAGCACAAUAUAAAGUUUCAUCAACUUCCAUACCGGGAGAUGGAGCAUUUGAGACAGUUCCGUCAAGAUGUCAGCAAGUGUCUUUUCUUAGGUAUUAUUUCCAUUCCGCCCUUUGCCAACUACCUGGUCUUCUUGCUAAUGUACUUAUUUCCUAGGCAACUACUGAUCAAACAUUUUUGGACCCCCAAACAACAAAUUGAUUUCUUAGAUAUCUAUCAUGCUCUCCGGAAGCAGUCCCACUCAGAAAUCAUUAGUUAUUUAGAAAGCGUCAUCCCUCUCGUUUCUGACGCAGGGCUCCGGUGGCAUCUGACGGAACUAUGCACCAAGAUACAGAAUGGUACCCACCCAGCAGCACAAGAUGUCCUGGCUCUCAGAGAGUGUUUCCGUAACCAUCCUCUGGGCAUAAACCAGCUCCAGGCUUUGCAACUGAAAGCCUUGAGCCGGGCCAUGCUUCUCACACCUUACCUCCCUCCUCCGUGGUUGAGACGCCGUUUGAAGGCUCAUACUACUGUGAUUCACCAGCUGGACAGGGCUUUGGCAAAGCUGGGGAUUGGCCAGCUCACUGCUCAGGAAGUGAAAUCGGCUUGUUAUCUCCGCGGCCUGAAUUCUACCCAUAUUGCUGAAGACAGAUGUCGAACUUGGCUGGGGGAAUGGCUACAAAUUUCGUGCAGCGUGAAAGUUCCUACACACACGGGCCGCUCGAAGGCAGACUUUGCCAGCCAAACCACUAACGCUGAUGGUGUUUGCAGAAACCGAGCUGUCCCUCCUGCUGCACAACGUGGUCCUGCUUUCCACGAACUACCUUGGGACGCGGCGCUGAGUGAAGCGUGGAACGGGCGGCGCAGUCCUGCAGUCUCGUCGUACAGCAGCGCGGGACCAACAGCACUUGUCUGCAGUCCGUGUGCGCCGUGAGGCGUGCAGGGCCGAGGAGAGGUGCCAUGGCUUCGCAGCCACUACCUGUGGGAACUACAGACAUUCCGCUCACAGCUCAAACUACAGCCCUUCUCAAGGGUGGCCCCUGCAAGCUGUCACGUAUCUCACAGAGCUUCUGAUGGGAUGGAAAGUUUGAAGAAACUCAUUUGAUCUCCUGGUGGACAUUUUAAGGUGGCACUAGAACCAGAGAGGAAGGGACGACACACAAAGGGCUGAGAGAGCAGCGGCAGGACUUGCUCCAGCUGGGGAGGGACACACGGGCAGAUGAGGCAGGACCGCAGGCUCCUGGCGCUCCAGAGAGAACAUGCCGCACGUCCAUCGCAGCACGUCCCCAUUAUCAGCGUUCUCCAAACUGACCUAAUUAGUUUUAUAUACAGAACGGGAGAAGCAUCCCUUCUCUUAACAAGUAACUGGCCUGCCAAGACAAAGACUAACACAUCAUUCUUUUGAAUAUUUCUUUAAUAUUACAUUUAAAUAUUCUCUUUAAAUACGGCAUUAUCACAAUGUAAAGAACCUAAAGGGGGAAAAAAUUGUUUUCAGAGAACCAGACAAGCUUUGGAUUCACAUUGAAAAUACUACCUGUGCAUACAGUAUGUGAAAGGGACAGUAAGCUUCAUUUCUUUUAUCUAGGCCUAGACUGAGUGGGACUGAAGCCGUCCAGUCCACUUCUACAGCCAGAGGCCCACCUUCCCUAGCAACCAUGAGCUGUAAUUUUGUCCAAUUCAGGUAGCACCAGAAAUGAGACAGACUAGGUUGUAGAAAACGCCCUUUGCUUGACAAGAGUUAAUGCUAAAUGCUAAUAUUUAGCACUCGGAAGUUUGGGGUUAGUGUGUCAGAAUUGUAAAGAAGGGAUGGGCCGGACGGAUGCUGGGGUUUUGCAGAAAUAUCAUAUAUCUUGUGGGUUGACAAUGAGUUUAAUAAUCACAAACUUGAAUUCAUUUGAUCCCAAAGGCUGAUGUUUUUCUUACUGAGCAGCUGGAAUCUGCCCACUAAACUGAGUUGGAGCUUCCUAAGGAGAAAAUUUCUAAGCUUCCUCCUCUUUCCAACAAAUUUUUAAAAACAGUUUUUUCUCCACGGAGCCAAAUUCUGAGAGAAACUUCACAGUCGUGUCUGAGUCCCCAUCUAAGGAGGGGGACAGCAGCUCAGUUUGGAAGAGCAUCUAAGUCUCAGGUACUUGAGAACCUCAGCUCUGUCUUGUGAGGCUGGGGGAUGGGGAGAAACACGGACACACGCCCCCAAUUAAGAACGCUCUUCCAACAUAAAACCAAACAAAAACAGGAAUGGACAGGAAAGGCGGAAUGGGUUAAAACAUGUAGCUGUAUUAAUUACAAAGUCCUUCAGGCUCAGAUUGUGUAGGUGAAAGGCUGCUGACAAAUACUCAAAGGUUGCUUUAAGACACCAGAGCCCUAACUAUCUCACAAGGAAAGGGUUUAUGAGCAAACAAAGAUGAACAGUUAUCUCCCCAACCACAGGAAAGUUUGUACUCUUCAUUCCUGGGUAGUAAAUCAUACCGGAAGUGAAACAUGGUGUCUAGGACACUAGAAAAUAGUGUUUUGCUCCCUACUGUGUCCAUUUUAAAAGAGGCAAAGAUAAACUCUGACAAUAAAAAGAAAUCAGUGGAGUUGAGUGAAGCAGACCUUGGAACAUACGCUGGACUAAGAGGAACAGGAACCACUGACAGAGGGAAGAACAGAAUCUGAGUCCCAUCCUAUACAUUUCCAAGGUUACAAUCAGAUCCUGAAUCCUGUGCAACCUGGGAGUUGUGUGUGGCAUUUUAAGAAUUGGUUUGGCUUCCAAUCUAUGUAUCAAGACAGAGAAGGUUCAGUAAACAUGUGCAGUUCUUGGGGCUGACCUGGACUAGUGUUAAGAACUCCAACCCUGUAUACAUCCAAGCAGGGUCACGAGGGCAGAUACAGAAAAAAAUAAAAACUAGCAGGUGUCCUUAGACUGCCACACCUUCCAUCCCACUUAAAGCUCAGAUCUGGGGGGCACCGUGAAAAAGCAAACGUGACACAGAUCGAGUCAUCUCUCCAGACAGCGGCUGGUCCUGCGGCCGCCUCCGGACAGACCUCACGCUCUGUAUGGGCUUCUGUGAGGGGCGAGCUUCGCCUGAAGCUGCCCAGCACAGCCAGUGAUGGACACAGGCGGAAGCCUCGGGCUCUUUACACCACAUCCCCAGCCAGGCUCGCUCUUUUUCUUCAAAGGAAAAAUGGAGGAAAAGAAGACAGACUACCUAAACUCUAGUACCUAAGAGCAUGUGAAGGAAAUACAGUCAUUCAAGUUACAGACCAGGGAUCCCCAGUGUGGGGAGCUGGUCAGAGAACACCAAAUGUCAAAUAUUAACUUCUUUACCAAAUGGGGGUCAGAGGAAGGCAGGUGACAUUUUUAGAAAUCCUGGAGGUUUUGUAUAGAAGCAGAGACCCUUCUACCCCUCCUCUCUAGAUCCUGCCUGGCCACCUUUGCAACUGCGUGACGACACCAAGACGGAGCACGGAAUAACCAGAGAGAAGUGAGCUUGCACCCUCCCCACGGCCAGGACAGCCGGGGCUUUGCCCUGCUGUUCAGAUUCGUGUGUUCCGGUCCCUACAUGAAGAACAGCCGCUUGAGCUACCCAGCGCCUCCUGUGUGCUCCUACCUCUGUUCUGACAGCCCAGAAAGCUCAGUACUGGGCACCGCGCGGCCGCCUGUAAGACUGUCUCCAGGUCAAGCUGGAGCUGGUCUCCUUGGUACUGUUUCCCUUUUUAAAAAUACUUGUACAAACAAGCCUUUCCCACCCACUCCCCGAAAGAUCCCAAUAAAAUAACAUGGGAGCAGCA